Long non-coding RNA from Scleropages formosus (Asian bonytongue), 365 nucleotides. RefSeq lists it as uncharacterized. The record is from RefSeq and is a predicted model, not a curated record. NCBI's taxonomy places the organism in Eukaryota, Metazoa, Chordata, Actinopteri, Osteoglossiformes, Osteoglossidae. The transcript is spliced from 3 exons.
CCGGCUGUGAGUGCUGGGGUCUUUGGCAACUGCUUGGUGUUUGUGCGCAGCUGCGGAGCGCGGGAGGCGUGCGUCCACGAAACUGUUCUUUCAGCCUCUAGCCGUUUUACAUUUUUUUAACGCUCCCUCACGCAUACUUCUGUGCCGCUGUUUCCACCGUUUGCUCCCGUCCACACUGCUGUUCUCCCGGGGGGGCAAUGCUCAUUCAUUUCAGCCCUUGGAUUGGGCACUACUAGAAGCCGCGUUGCCAAACCAUGGUGCUGCUUCACCAACCACAAGCUCAGAGAAUAUGCAAUGCUUAACGGUGACCAUCCUUCGAGGAAAGGACGGCUACGGCUUCACCAUCUGCUCCGACUCCCCAGUGC